Molecule: transfer RNA, 76 nt
Filed under: Dissulfurispira thermophila
Lineage: Bacteria; Pseudomonadati; Nitrospirota; Thermodesulfovibrionia; Thermodesulfovibrionales; Dissulfurispiraceae
Also listed under: 1 other name
Description: Nitrospiraceae bacterium T55J tRNA-Thr
Rfam family: tRNA
About the family: Transfer RNA (tRNA) molecules are approximately 80 nucleotides in length. Their secondary structure includes four short double-helical elements and three loops (D, anti-codon, and T loops).
Source: RNAcentral
GCCGCCGUAGCUCAGUUGGUAGAGCAGUUGAUUUGUAAUCAUCUGGUCGGGGGUUCGAAUCCCUUCGGCGGCUCCA